CUCGAAACCUAAAUGAGCUAAAAGUUAGUUGUUUAGAACUUAUAGGUAAUUGUUGCAUUAAUUUUUAAAAACUAAAUUUUAGAAGUUAUAUAUUAAUCGCAUUAGGUAAUAGCUAGUUUCUAUUAUUACUAUAAAUUAGUGAAAUUAAAGAAAUUUGAUUAUUAGGGGAUAAGCUCUAGUAAUAGACCAAUUAUUGCAUACAUCUUAAUGUAUAGGCUUAAAAUCAGUUAUUAUGAGUACUUUAUCGUAUUAUGCAUUUAUAUUCAAUUAAUGAUGGGGUAAUUAUAUAGAAUUAAUUAAAAUUGUAUUAUAAAAAUAUAAUGUUUAUAUUAGUAAUUUUUGAACUAGUACUAAUGAAUUCGGCAAAAUUAAUUUUCAACUGUUUAACAAAAACAUUUCCUUGAGCAUAAUUAUUCAAGGUAACCCCUGCCCAAUGACAAAUAAAUGGCCGCAGUAUCCUGACUGUGCAAAGGUAGCAUAAUCAAUUGUUUAUUAAUUGUAAACUAGAAUGAAAGGGACUAUGAGAAAUUGGCUGUCUCAGUACUAGUUAUUAAAUUUAAUCUUUAGUGUGAAGAAGCCUAGAUUUAAUUGUGAGACAAGAAGACCCUAUAAAGCUUUAUUUUUAAAUAAAAUUGGUUUAUUAAAUAAUUUGAUUGGGGCGAUCGGUGACUUUAAAAACGUCAUAUAGUUUUAUGAUUUAUGCAUCUUUGUUUGACCCUUUAUUAGAUCAAAAGAUUAAGUUACUUUAGGGGUAACAGGCUAAUUUUGUAUAGGAGUUCAUAUCUAAUAUAAUGUUUGGCACCUCGAUGUUGACUUAAGAAACCUACAUGGCGCAAGAGCUUUAGUAAGGGGGUUUGUUCAACCCUUGAUAUCUUACAUGAGUUGAGUUCAGACCGGCGUAAGCCAGGUUAGAUUCUAUCUACAAUAAAAUAUAAAUUUUAUUUGUUGUACGAAAGGACCCA
This 962-nucleotide ribosomal RNA is filed under the name Hirudo nipponia. Its description in RNAcentral is "16S ribosomal RNA". The stretch from base 562 to 962 matches the Rfam family "Bacterial large subunit ribosomal RNA", at positions 2047 to 2695 of the family's 2925-position model. Lineage: Eukaryota; Metazoa; Annelida; Clitellata; Hirudinida; Hirudinidae. The record is from RNAcentral.